RNAcentral lists this long non-coding RNA (286 nucleotides) under Mytilus galloprovincialis (Mediterranean mussel). Lineage: Eukaryota; Metazoa; Mollusca; Bivalvia; Mytilida; Mytilidae. The record is from RNAcentral.
GGUUCUAAAUUUUUUAACAUGUUAAAAAAUCCCCGAAGGUGCGUCCGAUGUUGAGGGUUCGUAUUGAGUUCGUAUCACCAUCCUCACCAUCGUAAUGUCACCGGGAAUGCAUCUUUGCACAUCGUAUUGCAUUCGUGUUUCCAUCGUUUCCAUCGGGGAGUUUUGACAUUACGAUGUCUACACGAAUGAAUCACGAAGAUACCUGAAGGUCUUACGAUGGCAACACGACUUCGUGAAGUCCUCGUAAUCCCGUCGUGUUGCCAUCGAAUAAAAGUACGAAGGCGAC